This 516-nucleotide ribosomal RNA is filed under the name Triticum aestivum (bread wheat). RNAcentral describes it as "partial small subunit ribosomal RNA". Lineage: Eukaryota; Viridiplantae; Streptophyta; Magnoliopsida; Poales; Poaceae. The record is from RNAcentral.
GGUCAUCCUACUGCUAGAUGUGCUCAAGCUAUGUGUGAGCAGUGCAAGAAGAAAGGACACCUGCCUGUGAUAUGCACUGAAUUUUUACCUUGAGAAUUUUCGCCUGCUACGUGUGGUUUUCAAAGCAAAGGGCAGGGGUUCUUCUAUAUUCCUGAUUUCAGCGUGGAUAGACAGCCUAGGGAGAGGAUUUUCAAUGUUGUUGUUACUAUCACCGAGGGGGAUGCGCUAACCAAAGACAUAGAGCACGAGCUUAGUGUUUAUGUGGGUCAGGGAUGGCGCUGUUCUGCUAAGUUCUUUGCUCUGAACAUGUUUGUGAUGAGGAUGCCUAACCCCAGAGAAGUUGAUCGUUCUCUUUUCGUUGAACAUGUUAAACUGAAAAAGUGUGGUGUGGCUGUUAAAUUUUCCCCCUGGUCUGAGGAUAUAGACUCUGAAGGGCUCCUAGAAGUUGCUUGGGUGAGGAUUGGGAGAAUCCCUCCUAAGAAACGCUGUGAUAAAACUGUAGCUUAUGUGGGGGGG